This 97-nucleotide signal recognition particle RNA is filed under the name Lactobacillus sp. RNAcentral describes it as "signal recognition particle sRNA small type". It matches the Rfam family "Bacterial small signal recognition particle RNA". Rfam says of the family: The signal recognition particle (SRP) is a universally conserved ribonucleoprotein involved in the co-translational targeting of proteins to membranes. The record is from RNAcentral. Lineage: Bacteria; Bacillati; Bacillota; Bacilli; Lactobacillales; Lactobacillaceae.
UAUGGGGGGCUUUGGGUUAGUUCGUCGCCAACCCGGUCAGGUUCGGAAGAAAGCAGCCGUAACGAUUUUUGACUAAGGUCAACAGUCCCCCACCUAC